RNAcentral lists this ribosomal RNA (200 nucleotides) under uncultured bacterium. RNAcentral describes it as "partial 16S ribosomal RNA". It matches the Rfam family "Bacterial small subunit ribosomal RNA", at positions 28 to 227 of the family's 1533-position model. The record is from RNAcentral.
GAUGAACGCUAGCGGCAGGCCUAAUACAUGCAAGUCGAACGAUACCAAGGAGCUUGCUUUUUGGGAAAGUGGCGCACGGGUGCGUAACGCGUAUGCAACCUACCUUAAUCAGGGGGAUAGCCCGAAGAAAUUCGGAUUAACACCGCAUAAAAACACAGUACAGCAUUGUACAAUGUUCAAAUAUUUAUAGGAUUAAGAUG